Molecule: ribosomal RNA, 506 nt
Filed under: uncultured bacterium
Lineage: Bacteria
Description: bacterial SSU rRNA
Rfam family: Bacterial small subunit ribosomal RNA
Source: RNAcentral
AUUGAACGCUGGCGGAAUGCUUUACACAUGCAAGUCGAACGGCAGCACGGGGCAACCUGGUGGCGAGUGGCGAACGGGUGAGUAAUAUAUCGGAACGUGCCCAAUCGUGGGGGAUAACGUAGCGAAAGUUACGCUAAUACCGCAUACGAUCUACGGAUGAAAGCGGGGGAUCGCAAGACCUCGCGCGAAUGGAGCGGCCGAUAUCAGAUUAGGUAGUUGGUGGGGUAAAGGCUCACCAAGCCAACGAUCUGUAGCUGGUCUGAGAGGACGACCAGCCACACUGGAACUGAGACACGGUCCAGACUCCUACGGGAGGCAGCAGUGGGGAAUUUUGGACAAUGGGCGCAAGCCUGAUCCAGCCAUUCCGCGUGCAGGAUGAAGGCCUUCGGGUUGUAAACUGCUUUUGUACGGAACGAAACGGUCUGCCCUAAUACGGCAGGCUAAUGACGGUACCGUAAGAAUAAGCACCGGCUAACUACGUGCCAGCAGCCGCGGUAAAGCUAACG